UUAAGCGACUAAGCGUACACGGUGGAUGCCCUGGCAGUCAGAGGCGAUGAAGGACGUGCUAAUCUGCGAAAAGCGUCGGUAAGGUGAUAUGAACCGUUACAGCCGGCGAUGUCCGAAUGGGGAAACCCAGUGUGAUUCGUCACACUAUCGUUAACUGAAUACAUAGGUUAACGAGGCGAACCGGGGGAACUGAAACAUCUAAGUACCCCGAGGAAAAGAAAUCAACCGAGAUUCCCCCAGUAGCGGCGAGCGAACGGGGAGCAGCCCAGAGUCUGAAUCAGCUUGUGUGUUAGUGGAACGGUCUGGAAAGUCCGACGGUACAGGGUGAUAGUCCCGUACACCAAAAUGCACAGGUUGUGAACUCGAAGAGUAGGGCGGGACACGUGGUAUCCUGUCUGAAUAUGGGGGGACCAUCCUCCAAGGCUAAAUACUCCUGACUGACCGAUAGUGAACCAGUACCGUGAGGGAAAGGCGAAAAGAACCCCGGCGAGGGGAGUGAAAAAGAACCUGAAACCGUGUACGUACAAGCAGUGGGAGCACCUUCGGGUGUGACUGCGUACCUUUUGUAUAAUGGGUCAGCGACUUAUAUUCUGUAGCAAGGUUAACCGUAUAGGGGAGCCGCAGGGAAACCGAGUCUUAACUGGGCGUUAAGUUGCAGGGUAUAGACCCGAAACCCGGUGAUCUAGCCAUGGGCAGGUUGAAGGUUGGGUAACACUAACUGGAGGACCGAACCGACUAAUGUUGAAAAAUUAGCGGAUGACUUGUGGCUGGGGGUGAAAGGCCAAUCAAACCGGGAGAUAGCUGGUUCUCCCCGAAAGCUAUUUAGGUAGCGCCUCGUGAACUCAUCUUCGGGGGUAGAGCACUGUUUCGGCUAGGGGGUCAUCCCGACUUACCAACCCGAUGCAAACUACGAAUACCGAAGAAUGUUAUCACGGGAGACACACGGCGGGUGCUAACGUCCGUCGUGAAGAGGGAAACAACCCAGACCGCCAGCUAAGGUCCCAAAGUCAUGGUUAAGUGGGAAACGAUGUGGGAAGGCACAGACAGCCAGGAUGUUGGCUUAGAAGCAGCCAUCAUUUAAAGAAAGCGUAAUAGCUCACUGGUCGAGUCGGCCUGCGCGGAAGAUGUAACGGGGCUAAACCAUGCACCGAAGCUGCGGCAGCGACACUAUGUGUUGUUGGGUAGGGGAGCGUUCUGUAAGCCUGCGAAGGUGUGCUGUGAGGCAUGCUGGAGGUAUCAGAAGUGCGAAUGCUGACAUAAGUAACGAUAAAGCGGGUGAAAAGCCCGCUCGCCGGAAGACCAAGGGUUCCUGUCCAACGUUAAUCGGGGCAGGGUGAGUCGACCCCUAAGGCGAGGCCGAAAGGCGUAGUCGAUGGGAAACAGGUUAAUAUUCCUGUACUUGGUGUUACUGCGAAGGGGGGACGGAGAAGGCUAUGUUAGCCGGGCGACGGUUGUCCCGGUUUAAGCAUGUAGGCUGAUUGUCCAGGCAAAUCCGGAUAAUCAAGGCUGAGGUGUGAUGACGAGGCACUACGGUGCUGAAGUAACAAAUGCCCUGCUUCCAGGAAAAGCCUCUAAGCAUCAGGUAACAUUAAAUCGUACCCCAAACCGACACAGGUGGUCAGGUAGAGAAUACCAAGGCGCUUGAGAGAACUCGGGUGAAGGAACUAGGCAAAAUGGUGCCGUAACUUCGGGAGAAGGCACGCUGGUGUGUAGGUGAAGUCCCUGCGGAUGGAGCUGAGACCAGUCGAAGAUACCAGCUGGCUGCAACUGUUUAUUAAAAACACAGCACUGUGCAAACACGAAAGUGGACGUAUACGGUGUGACGCCUGCCCGGUGCCGGAAGGUUAAUUGAUGGGGUUAUCCGUAAGGAGAAGCUCUUGAUCGAAGCCCCGGUAAACGGCGGCCGUAACUAUAACGGUCCUAAGGUAGCGAAAUUCCUUGUCGGGUAAGUUCCGACCUGCACGAAUGGCGUAAUGAUGGCCAGGCUGUCUCCACCCGAGACUCAGUGAAAUUGAACUCGCUGUGAAGAUGCAGUGUACCCGCGGCAAGACGGAAAGACCCCGUGAACCUUUACUAUAGCUUGACACUGAACAUUGAGCCUUGAUGUGUAGGAUAGGUGGGAGGCUUUGAAGCGUGGACGCCAGUCUGCGUGGAGCCAACCUUGAAAUACCACCCUUUAAUGUUUGAUGUUCUAACGUUGGCCCCUGACCGGGGUUGCGGACAGUGUCUGGUGGGUAGUUUGACUGGGGCGGUCUCCUCCCAAAGCGUAACGGAGGAGCACGAAGGUUAGCUAAUCCUGGUCGGACAUCAGGAGGUUAGUGCAAUGGCAUAAGCUAGCUUGACUGCGAGCGUGACGGCGCGAGCAGGUGCGAAAGCAGGUCAUAGUGAUCCGGUGGUUCUGAAUGGAAGGGCCAUCGCUCAACGGAUAAAAGGUACUCCGGGGAUAACAGGCUGAUACCGCCCAAGAGUUCAUAUCGACGGCGGUGUUUGGCACCUCGAUGUCGGCUCAUCACAUCCUGGGGCUGAAGUAGGUCCCAAGGGUAUGGCUGUUCGCCAUUUAAAGUGGUACGCGAGCUGGGUUUAGAACGUCGUGAGACAGUUCGGUCCCUAUCUGCCGUGGGCGCUGGAGAAUUGAGGGGGGCUGCUCCUAGUACGAGAGGACCGGAGUGGACGCAUCACUGGUGUUCGGGUUGUCAUGCCAAUGGCACUGCCCGGUAGCUAAAUGCGGAAGAGAUAAGUGCUGAAAGCAUCUAAGCACGAAACUUGCCCCGAGAUGAGUUCUCCCUGAGACUUUAAGUCUCCUGAAGGAACGUUGAAGACGACGACGUUGAUAGGCCGGGUGUGUAAGCGCAGCGAUGCGUUGAGCUAACCGGUACUAAUGAACCGUGAGGCUUAACCUU
This 2900-nucleotide ribosomal RNA is filed under the name Klebsiella pneumoniae CHS 49. Its description in RNAcentral is "bacterial LSU rRNA". It matches the Rfam family "Bacterial large subunit ribosomal RNA". The record is from RNAcentral. Lineage: Bacteria; Pseudomonadati; Pseudomonadota; Gammaproteobacteria; Enterobacterales; Enterobacteriaceae.